UCUCCUAUGGCGCAAUUGGUGGCGCGUCUGACUGUUAAUAUCAGAAGGUUGUUAGUUCGAGCCUAACUGGGAGAG
RNAcentral lists this transfer RNA (75 nucleotides) under Rhizoctonia solani AG-1 IB. RNAcentral describes it as "tRNA-Asn". It matches the Rfam family "tRNA". From Rfam's summary of the family: Transfer RNA (tRNA) molecules are approximately 80 nucleotides in length. Lineage: Eukaryota; Fungi; Basidiomycota; Agaricomycetes; Cantharellales; Ceratobasidiaceae. The record is from RNAcentral.